UCGACGUUAAUUGUUUGAAAGACAAAAGACGGCGCGGCUCGCACCUGGCAGCCGGAGACAUCAAGCUGGCGGUGUGAUAUUCAUGAACUCUGGAACCCGGAUUUAAAAAUGAUCUUUUCUGCUCUCCCAAGACGCCGCAUCGUUCUUAAUGCAUAGCCUAAAUUACCCAAAACUUUUUCCAAUUGGUUUGGCAACACAAACCAAUCCAACUGGAAUGGUUUGUGUUGCCUGAGGCCUAAUAAACUGGCGACUAAACUCACCUGCUGAGGAUCGGCUAGAGUGGGCGAGUAGGCCGCGGGAGCGCCAUGUUGGAAAAAGCUGCGUUGUUACUCGAACCGAGCAGCAGAUGAAGAGUGAGCCGACCUUGGCGUCUCAGGCGGUUUGUUUGGCUGAUGGCGUCCCUGAAAUAUCUGUGGAGGAAAACAAUGGCGUCUGGAACUAGCAGCAAAUCGAUUAUGGAUGUUAAGGGGAUUUACAAGCAGGCUGAGGAUCGCUUCAAGCUGCCUGGGGGAUCCGCCCGACCCAUCAAAGGUUGGUUAAGUCAAGCAACUGUUCGAUGGCGGGUCCAGAAGACAUCUCAGGGUAGGAGCUGCUGCGGGUUUGAUGCUAGCUGCUGAUGCUAAAGCUGUUGAAGGCCAACGCUAGGCCUGAUGCUGGUUUGGUUUGAUUCGCCGCUGGGAAGGAUUCUGCCGUUUAAAAGCCUUAAGUCUUGGUUGUGGUCAUUUUGACCUGUGGAGGUUUAGGUGUAAUUACCAUGUUGGAAUCUGAAGUUCAUGGUUAAAAAUCGGUAUUGCCUUAAAAGAAAGAUGGCUGCCAAGGUUUUGGCGAAUACAGUAUAGAGGCUGCAGGAAGUCAUUGAGUUGGGUCAAGUAAAUAUCACUAUAAUAAUCCUUGAUACCAUACCUAUACAUUAUUGGUGAUAAUUCCAUGUGGCUAUGUUGGCAUUUAAUAUAGCUGCAUAAGAUAUUUGUCUUUUAGAUGAAUACUACAUGUUUUUGGGUGGAAAAUGAGGUCUUUUACAUUUCAAUAUACAUACCUUUUUUAUUUUUUGUAUGUACUUAAUACUUAGUUUGAAACCUAAUCUAAGUAUUUCAGAAAUAGGGUCCAUACUUAAAUAAUUUAACUCAAACAAAUUUUAUUUACGUCCAACAACUUAAACAUGACAACCGGUUGUCUUUGCGUCAAACUCGUGGCCUCUUGUGAUUUCAUUUCUUCUGGACGAUGACUUCAUUUCUUCUGGACAACAAUUUCAUUUCUUCUGCAAGACGGCGAUCAACAGAGAUCUGCUGGAGGUCAGAGGUCACAGAGGUAAUAUUCACUGUCUAAUCCACCCUCUCAUUUGCAGGUUUUCCGAUUAAAUUAACAGUUUUCCUUCUAGAGACGAGCCAGUGGGACCUGUCUAAGAGUUUUUAGUCUGUUUUUAACCCAGUUUCUCUCCUAGACCAACAUACCAGCAUACAUUGUGUUGCACCUAACUAUUGUUUUCUCUGAUAAAGCCACAAAAGGAGCUUCUACUGCAACUAACUCUUUAUUUUCUCCAAUAUAGAAAUACUCCUGCAGCAGCUCUUUCUUUCUGUCUCUCUGCUCUGUCCUUUCUAUUCCCCCGGGGGUCAUGACAGAUGGCCUUUCAGAACCACCUUCUGGUUCUGCUGGAGGUUAGUUCCUGUUAAAGGGAAGUUUUCCUCUCCACUGUCAGUACAUACAUCUUCAUUAUGAGGCACUGCCUAAGCUUAUAUAACUUUUAACCAAUUAAAAUAAUUGGUGUAGUGAUCUUUUUUUUCUCAUUAGGGAAGUCUUCCUGUUAAAGGGAAGUUUUUCCUCUCCACUGUCACCAUGUGCAUCCUCAGUUUGUCUAUAGUAAUAAUACAGUUUCAAACAGUUUCAAGCUCAUGGUUCAGAAUUUAAGGCUUUGUCAAUACAAUCUGAGCAAGAAGAUAUAAAAGCCAAACAAGUUUUUGUCGACUUGAAGACUGAAGAUCCUGUGGACAUCAAGAAGGCCACUAUGGCACUGGACUCUGAACCAAACCGUGGGAAAUGUGGUUUGCUACGUCCUAUAUCCAAUCCUCAAGACUUUGAAGUCAUUGGAGGAUUUCAAAGAAAAUUGGUAACGGGUACAACAAAGCAGUUGAUCAAUCUGGGAUUCUCUGGUCUGUGAUCAAAUGUGGAAUUUAUUCUAAAAGGCAUGUGGGCGCAAAGGAGCGGCGGGGUAAAAGGUGUGUGGGCGCAAAGGAGCGGCGGGGUAAAAGGCGUGUGGGCGCAAAGGAGCGGCGGGGUAAAAGGUGUGUGGGCGCAAAGGAGCGGCGGGGUAAAAGGCGUGUGGGCGCAAAGGAGCGGCGGGGUAAAAGGCGUGUGGGCGCAAAGGAGCGGCGGGGUAAAAAGCUUGUGUAGAAAAUGUGUGUGUGUGUGUGUGUGUGACGACAAAAACUGACUAGACAAACAACCCAUAGGGGAAAAGUCCUUCAGACAAACCCACAGGACCCUGCCCCCUCCCCCCCACAACAACAAAGGAUGCAGAAGGCCUUCAUUGCACCCCACUGAUGGAUGAGCAUAAUAACCCAAGAAAUGCUGCAGGAAUCUCCUGCAUCAUCUUGUUUUCGUCUCAGACUUGGCCCUCGUCGCCCCCCCAGGACCGCCGCAGGAGGCCCCUCGUCGACCGCCGCAGGAGGCCCCUCGUCCCACUUCGCUGAUUGAUGACCUUACGACCUAAGAAAUGCUGCAGGAAUCCUCUCCAUCGCCCCACCAUCAACUGACGGAAAAGGCCUUCAUCACCCCCGCUGAUGGAUGACCUGAGUGACUCUACUGUUGGGUUCAGCUGGUUUUCUGGAGGAAACCCUGCAAGUGAAUCCUCCUGGAUGAUCUUGAUUUUGACUCUGAUUUGGCCCUUCAUUGCUCCACCAUCGACCGAGGGAAGAGGCCUACAUCACUUUUUUUUUUUUUUUUUUUUCAAGGACAGUUUUGUUCAAAGACUAAAUGAUCCAAUUUAUUUUGGAUAUUUAAAAUGUCCUCCAGUUUUAGUGUUAAAUGUUAGAAUUUAAUGUUUCUUGUUCUUGAGAAAGUGUUUCAUGGUUAUUGCAUUAAGGAAAAGCUCAGUCUGGUUUAGGUUUUCCUCUGUAGUUAUGUUGCUAUAGGUUUAGGUUACUGGAGGAUGAACUGAUCACUUUUCUGUUUUACAUUAUUUGCUGUUAUCUCCAAUGGAGCUCCACCUGGUCUGGCGUUCUGAUUGGCUGGUUCCUUCCUGGAGGAGGGCACCAGCUGGCAUGAUGCUGCCAUCACCUAGCCGUUGUUCCUCUCCUGCUGUUAACUCUUCACUCCAUGAAUGUAGGAAGUUCUCCUGACCAGCUGACCUGUUGUCUCUGCUCCGUCUUCUCAGCUCCUUCUCGGCAGUGGUUUCAGAUGGCUGCUGGUUCUGAGCCCGGUUCUGGUUCUGCUGGAGGUUUCUUCCUGUUAGAGGAGAGUUCUUCCUCUCCACUGUGGCUACAUGCAUGCUCCGUAUGAGGAAUUGAUGUAAAGACAAGGACUCAACACAAGCGCGUAGCUGUGGCCCCCUGCUGGUCAGGAGGAGUGAAUGCUGUAAGUAAUGACUUCAUGCAGUCUGCUGGGUUUCCUUCGGUAUAAACUCUAAACUGUUUUAAUUAACUUAGCUUAUUGUACUAAUUAUAAUUGGAAUAUAUGUGAACAAAAAAAUUUCACUUCGAAGUGCAUUGAGACAAUUGUUGUGAAUUGGCGCUGUAUAAAACUGAACACCUAAACCAACAAAUGUGCCCAACCAAUACAAACCCCCCCCAACAACCAAUACAAACCCCCCCAACAACCAAUACAAACCCCCCCAACAACCAAUACAAA
Xiphophorus hellerii (green swordtail) is the source of this 3843-nucleotide long non-coding RNA. RefSeq lists it as uncharacterized. The transcript is spliced from 5 exons. The record is from RefSeq and is a predicted model, not a curated record. Lineage: Eukaryota; Metazoa; Chordata; Actinopteri; Cyprinodontiformes; Poeciliidae.